Molecule: ribosomal RNA, 350 nt
Filed under: uncultured bacterium
Lineage: Bacteria
Description: bacterial SSU rRNA
Rfam family: Bacterial small subunit ribosomal RNA
Source: RNAcentral
GGGCCCGCACAAGCGGUGGAGUAUGUGGUUUAAUUCGAUGCAACGCGAAGAACCUUACCAGGGUUUGACAUCCUGCGAAUCUCUUGGAAACGAGAGAGUGCCUUCGGGAGCGCAGUGACAGGUGGUGCAUGGCUGUCGUCAGCUCGUGUCGUGAGAUGUUGGGUUAAGUCCCGCAACGAGCGCAACCCACGUCUUUAGUUGCCAGCAUUUAGUUGGGCACUCUAGAGAGACCGCCGGUGAUAAACCGGAGGAAGGUGUGGAUGACGUCAAGUCCUCAUGGCCCUUACGGGUUGGGCUACACACGUGCUACAAUGGUGGUGACAAUGGGUUAAUCCCAAAAAGCCAUCUCA